CUCACUAGUCGAGUCGGCCUGCGCGGAAGAUGUAACGGGGCUCAAACCACACACCGAAGCUGCGGGUGUCACGUAAGUGACGCGGUAGAGGAGCGUUCUGUAAGCCUGUGAAGGUGAGUUGAGAAGCUUGCUGGAGGUAUCAGAAGUGCGAAUGCUGACAUGAGUAACGACAAUGGGUGUGAAAAACACCCACGCCGAAAGACCAAGGGUUCCUGCGCAACGUUAAUCGACGCAGGGUUAGUCGGUUCCUAAGGCGAGGCUGAAAAGCGUAGUCGAUGGGAAACAGGUUAAUAUUCCUGUACUUCUGGUUACUGCGAUGGAGGGACGGAGAAGGCUAGGCCAGCUUGGCGUUGGUUGUCCAAGUUUAAGGUGGUAGGCUGAAAUCUUAGGUAAAUCCGGGGUUUCAAGGCCGAGAGCUGAUGACGAGUCGUCUUUUAGAUGACGAAGUGGUUGAUGCCAUGCUUCCAAGAAAAGCUUCUAAGCUUCAGGUAACCAGGAACCGUACCCCAAACCGACACAGGUGGUCGGGUAGAGAAUACCAAGGCGCUUGAGAGAACUCGGGUGAAGGAACUAGGCAAAAUGGCACCGUAACUUCGGGAGAAGGUGCGCCGGCUAGGGUGAAGGAUUUACUCCGUAAGCUCUGGCUGGUCGAAGAUACCAGGCCGCUGCGACUGUUUAUUAAAAACACAGCACUCUGCAAACACGAAAGUGGACGUAUAGGGUGUGACGCCUGCCCGGUGCCGGAAGGUUAAUUGAUGGGGUUAGCGCAAGCGAAGCUCUUGAUCGAAGCCCCGGUAAACGGCGGCCGUAACUAUAACGGUCCUAAGGUAGCGAAAUUCCUUGUCGGGUAAGUUCCGACCUGCACGAAUGGCGUAACGAUGGCGGCGCUGUCUCCACCCGAGACUCAGUGAAAUUGAAAUCGCUGUGAAGAUGCAGUGUAUCCGCGGCUAGACGGAAAGACCCCGUGAACCUUUACUGUAGCUUUGCACUGGACUUUGAGCCUGCUUGUGUAGGAUAGGUGGGAGGCUUUGAAGCGUGGACGCCAGUUCGCGUGGAGCCAUCCUUGAAAUACCACCCUGGCAUGCUUGAGGUUCUAAC
This 1098-nucleotide ribosomal RNA is filed under the name Pseudomonas aeruginosa. RNAcentral describes it as "partial 23S ribosomal RNA". It matches the Rfam family "Bacterial large subunit ribosomal RNA", at positions 1141 to 2226 of the family's 2925-position model. Lineage: Bacteria; Pseudomonadati; Pseudomonadota; Gammaproteobacteria; Pseudomonadales; Pseudomonadaceae. The record is from RNAcentral.